This is a non-coding RNA of Oryctolagus cuniculus (rabbit), 14692 nucleotides long. The record is from RefSeq and is a predicted model, not a curated record. NCBI's taxonomy places the organism in Eukaryota, Metazoa, Chordata, Mammalia, Lagomorpha, Leporidae.
GCGCGGCGCACUGCCGGUUCCUCGGACCGCCGCCGACCCGAUGCCGUCCCUUCCAGGCCGCAGCGCUCGGGGACUAGGGCCGGCAGGUCCCGGGGUAGGGGAAAGGUGCAUGGCCCCGUGGUGUGCGCGCGCGCGCGUGUGUGUGCUAGGUGGGGAAAGAGGUGCGGGAAAGCUGCCUCCCUUAGGAGUCACUCCCUCGGGUCUCAGCGUCCCCACCUCCACCCGGUCGCCUUCUUAGGAACUGGAUUUGGUUUUGGAGGACUGCGACCCCCUUCUCCGCCCGCAAUCUCGGUGGUGUGUGCAGGUCGCCCCCCUCUUCCCAGUUCACACCCGGCAGCAAUCUGGACGCCCCCUGUUCCCGGCCCGCGGGGACUGUAGGGACCUUGCGUGGAGAGAGAGUGGUGGCAGGACUGAGCGGGGCGUGUGCGGAGAAGGCUGGAGUUGCUGGAGUAUUGUGUGCUGGCUCGGGUGCUUGUGCCCGGGUGCGCCCUCAAUGCUUUCGGGGACCAGGCUGGGGGUGGAGGGGUCAACGGGUUUGCUGAACUCCCUUCGGAGGGCUGACUGAGCAAAUGCCCUUGGCGCCUUGGGCACGUUUGCACGUCGGUUUAAUGGAGGCACGUGGGAGCAGUGUUGAUCACUGGCGGGUCCCCAAAGACCCUUUGGGGCUGGCCCAGCGCAUGUUCGCGGUUGGGAGGGGGAGGAGAGUGUUGUGGGAAUGUCCGUCCUAGGGAGGAGGAGAGGGUCUCAAGGAGACUUGCUUUUCUUGGAUUUGGUGCAAUUCUGAAAACGCAAACAGGCCCUCGGGGCGUUAAAGUACAUUCCGGGAUGAAGGACCUACCUGUAUUAAAAUCCUGCCGGUGUCAGAAAGACCUCUUGGCACUCUUCCUUUACAUUCAAAUCGGGGAUUGAGCAUUAUGAGGAAAAUACCCUGCCAAACCGCUCUUUAGAUUGCACAAGCGUCUAGUUCAGGUGGCAGUGUAGAAGCCAAAAACGGGAGCUUCCAGAAGUGGUUUCUGAAAGAGAAGAGUUGAACGUACAGGAGUUAAGCAAGUGCGAGAAUCUGAAAAACCGCAGAUGGAGAAACAGUGUUGAAAGGUGGCAACGUCCUUGAAAUCAACAAAGAACUAAAGUUGCACCGAGCUCAACCAGAAGACUAGAAAGGCUUCCUGAUCGGCACCCUCUUGCAGAGAAAUGCCUCGGUGCAACUUUGAAAAGUGCCUGUGUGAUCUGGAACAAAGACGUUUUAUAAUCAGAUUGAUCAAGCUGCGAAGAGGGAGUUUGAACGAACGGAAGCAGCCGCAUUCUGUCACCAGGAAAUACUGCUUUAUCCCGAAUUGGUAAGUGAAAAGUGGCACUGCUCCCUAAUAGAUAUCAUAUGGUGUGUGUGGGAAUUGCAAAAUUGUUCACAGACCCCUGACAACUGUGUUGAGCAGAGAACACAGGAACAGAGUGAGCACUUAGAAAAAAGAGCAGCUCGGGAAUAUAGCAUAAAGGCUGGGAAGAAGGCAGGUAAUUAACAAAAAAAAAAAUGAGCUCUUGCCAGGUUGGCCAAAUAUAUGCCAUGCAGCUGGAGUCGGGGUUUUUCUUUUUCUUUCUGGGGAGGGAGAAGCAUGAAAUCAAAAUGGGCUGUUGGGUGGUUUCGGCAUUCAUUUUCCACGGAUAGCUGGUAGGGAGUUCGAAGGGAUGGCUUUCCGAAUUAAUGGACUUGCCUUCCUUUUCCUCUGUCUACUCCAGGGUGUCAAGCAUUUAGUCAGAACUUUACAAAAUGAAAGCUCAAGUCAUGCAUCGGCAACAUCUCCUCCUGAUUGUGAAGGGCAUAUUCCGGUGCUAACAGAUUUUUCUUUGCCAUUCUGGUCAUGAAUUUCCCAAUUGUUCUGUUUGAUUAUAUAAGUAUAGCAAAAGGGUAGUUCUUUCUAUGUGGUCCAUUCCAUUUUGCGAGCUCGUGAUUAGCAGUUCUUAACUGGCUCCGUGUGCAUGUGUCUGCCUGUCUGCUUCUCAGACCUUGAGUUAGGUUUUCUAAUCUUGAACUUGAGCUGCUCCUGUGUUUCAGGUUUCCAGAAGAAUACAAGAACGCUUUGAAUACCUGUUGUUUAUAUAAUAGGUUCUUGUUCAUGAACUGUAAGGUAACACAAUUUUAUAUUAGGCAUGAAUGUCUGGCUUUCUGAUUCUGCUUCUUCGAAAUGAUUGUGCUGAAAAGGUUGAAUAGAACAAGAAAAGAACAUUAGAAUGGUAGGUGGCUACCUGCUUCUACCAGUUUGUUAUUGGUCAGCAGAAGGAAUCAUGUGCUGUCUACUUAAGAGAAACAGAUGGGAAAGAGUUGUUCUUUAGGUGGUAGCAAUUAUAUAAGGCAAUUUUGAUGAUCUCCAUUUAUGAGUGUAGAUAUAAUAAUUGAAACUGUUAGUAACAGAAUUGGCAGUUGGAAGUUAUAUAAGACAUAAUAUUCACUUCUUUUUAAGUACUGUAAACCAGCUGGAAAGUUGAAUCGCCAUUUCUGACUUUUGGUUCCUGUUCUGUUACUUUCAAAAUCUUCAAACCCUUAGCUCCAAAAGCAAAACUAUAUAAUAAAACAGACGCUAGCAAUGCUGCCGUCCCCUGUUGGCAGUGGAGUGGGAGAAGGGGUUGUGGGGUGGGGGGAUGAAGCUCCUGGGAUCGAUUAAUUGGCUUUUCCUCUCCUCUUUAGAGAUGAUUUCUCGCAGACCGGUACAUCUCAAGACCUUUGUGCAAGUGUUUAUUUCCAUAGAUGAAAAAGGCAAGAUGAGCGUGGCUGUUAAAUCAGGAAAUUGAUGAUGCAAGCCUGUAAUUAUCACCAGUCUUUCGACUUAGUAAGGUGUGGCACCUGUUUCCCUGAAGCCCAUGAAUUUAUAGAUUUUUUAGAAUCUUGUAGACAGAAAAAAUGGUGAGAAAACAUUAAGGUAUUUCCAGGUAGUUUAUAUCCGACUGCUAGCUUGUGUUCAGUGAUUCACAAUUAUUUUCAGCUUGGUAUUUCAUGUAAAUACUCGGGGGAAACAUGGUGACUUAAGAAUCUGGCCAAAAACUGAUAUGCUUGAUGGGGGGGGGGGGGGCUCUGUACAAAUGUUAGUUCUUCCUCAUCCAUUUCGAAGCCAUUGUUUUGAAGGACAAAAAUGUAAUAGAAGCUGGAAAGUAUAUUCCAGAAGAAUUAUAUGAGAGCCUCGUGUUUCCAAGCCUCGUUGCUGUUCUCUGUUCUCAAUUUAUUAAUUUUUAAGAAUACAUUUAAAAUGAAUAAGACAGUAUUGCCCUGAAUUCUCCCUUGAGGUCAUUGAGAGUAUUAGCAUUUUUGUGUACACUGUGAGAAGAUUUUAACACUGAAGGGGCCUUGGUGGAGCGACAGACUUCAAAAUGAUUUCUCUUAAAUACUGCUUGAUAUUUACAUAUUCAAGAAUAGAAACACUUUUCCUCUAGGCUUGUCUCUUAUAUUUUUGGUGUGGCAUACAGAUUUCUAUAGUCCAAUUAAAAGGCUCUUUUGGAGGUAUGGAUAUGUAUGCGUAUAUAUGAGAUCUGCAGGGGAGCUUCAGUCGCUAGCGAAACAAGUGGCUGUUUGUUAGGAGUCAGAUAAGCCUCACAGUGUUGUUCCUAUGACAACUGAGUAGAUGGGUGUUGAAAUGCAGCUUUAAGUUCUCGGCUUGGAAAUGUCAUUCAGACCUCCCACUACAGUCUCAUUGAGUAGGAGGAUAAUGAGAAGGGGAAAAACCGUGAAGCAACAUAAGUAUCUGCGUUCUUUUCGGGUCUUCCUGACUUGCUUUUGUGUACGGGAUCGCCAUGGGAGUGGUAAACAUAGGUCUCGAACAAAGCAAUAUUUCCAUACAAAAUCAAUGGGAAGGGGUCAGAAAAGUUGGGGAAGAUAAAUAAGAACAUAUGGGGGUAAUAAAGAGGCAGGAGAAGUCGGCUUCCACAGGUUGAUACAAAUGCUUUGUCCAGUACUGACCAGCAGGGAGAACAUCUUGAACCAGUUAUUGUAUAGCCCUUCAAGAGCUGCAAAUAUUGCCUUAAAAUGCAAUGUGGAGAAAAUUCCUUUGGUAGCAGGAUGGUUUACCACUUUGGCAUAACAUUUAUUCAUCUCUUGUAGGCUGACUACAGAGGAUACUGUGUUCUUUUAAGGCACAUGCUUUUAAACCAAUUGUUCACUUGUCAUUUAAUAGCUUUUGUCUUUUUUUCCUCCAUGGGAAAGGCAAGAUUGCAGUACUAAAACUUAAAUAUUUUUUUAUCCCAUAUUCAAAAAGGAUUUAAAUCCGUAGCGAUUGUUUGAGACCUGUUGUUUGUGGAAGUGAAUGGCUUGACUGAGAAUCUAUGGAACACAGUAUUGGAAGGGAGCAAUUGUUUAGACUAAUAUUUGGCGUAGAUUAAUUAUGCAGUUGUGGGUUUUCCAUGCCCAAAGGGCUUCCUAUUUUCUACUCCUGAAUGGUUUUGACUAUUUGAUCACCAGCAUCUCUUGAAGUUAGAAAGGAAAAGAUUUCAGUGGGAUUGCCCGAUUUACUUAACAAAUGUAAGUCCAUUAACUUUUUGAACCUACCCCCCCCCAAAAAAAAGCUCUGAAAAUCAAAAGAUUUUCAUGUAAUGAAUUUGAAGCAAAUCUUGGACUGAACCCAGGUGAGGCUAAUUAUAGUCUUCACUUAGCUCACUAAGUGUGAAUCUUUGUAUGUUGUACCAUGGAAAUAUUAAUGUAUUUGAUCAUGGAGUACUGCAUUCCACUUCCUUGGAGCUCUAAUAUGCAUAAUACAUAAUAGUCACUUUAUUACCUUUAUAAAAUAAUAAUCAUAAUCAGUCCAAGUGUCAGAUGAGGACUUAUGGACCUCUCAUUGCUGACAUCCACUGAGCUUAUAUUAUGUGCCAGCACAUAAUGAAUCACUGGCAUCUAGAACAGUGCCUGGCACAUUGUAGAUACUCACUCAGUAGAUGUGUUUUGGUAUAAAAUACUUUACUUGUGUUAACUUAUUGGACUCAUAGGACUUGUAUAUAGCCAAUAUGAUUGUUAUGCCCAUUUUACUUGGGGAAACUGAUGCACUAAGAGGUGAAGCAACUUGCUUAAAGUGACACAGGUGGGAAGUAGUGGAGCCAAAACUUGAAAGCAAGCAGUCCAGCUAUGGUCUGUUCUUACUGAGUCCAACAAGAAAGUCCUGGAGAUGUGGGACCCGAACUCUUUAGCUGAGUUAUUGGGCAGUUUCAGCUAUGUACUUUAUUCUUGAUCACGCUGCUCCUUCUGUCAUCAGAAACUGAUAAUAUUGCUAAUGUGGUCAUUACCAGGGGUAUGCUAUGGAGUGCUUGCAGGUGCUUCAGCUAGAAUUCAUGAAAGGAUACAGAGCAUCUCAUAAAUGCCUAUAAGGUGUCUGUCUAACCCCUAUGUAUGCCUGGGAGUGAGAAAAAACAUUCCAAGUGGAUGGGAACCUCCAUAUUCUAUGCCCAAACUUCCCAUUCCCUUUCUUUGCUUAAUUUUUUUCUUAGGACUUGUCUCUGUUUGUCAUAUUGUGUGGUUUAAUUAUUUGUUUUGUAUUUUAUUCAAACACUAGCUAUUUUGCUGUUUGAACAAAAUUUAAAGUCCUAGAUAUUUCUUUUUUACCUCCACCCUCAAACUCAUUACUUCCCAUCUCUGAUUACUACAAAUAAUGAUUUUUUUUGCCCAUUGGAUUUUCCUUGCUGUUAGUUAUCACUUUCACAUUCACAGCCAUGAGAAUUUCUUUUUCUUAAAAAUAUUGUUUAGGUUAUACAAUCAGAAUUUGAGAAUGGCGUUCUUGGUUUAGGAGGGGAAAGUGAACCAAGUAUGAAUGCAGCCAUUAGAUAUUUUUAAAAUUAGGAAGAUUUAAAAUUAUUAAGGAGAGCAUAUAAAGUAAACACUUUAGGCACUACUUGUAGUUUAAAUAGAGAACCAUAGAACUGUAUGUAACAUUUUAUUUCAGACCCACCUACUUGCUACCCUUUUCCUUUGCAAAACAAAAUAAAUCAAUAUAAAACAAUGAUUCUACAUGUUGUAUUAAACAAUGUAAGUGAUUUAAUCUUGGACAUUUCCUGGCUCAAGUUUUUAAAAAUCUCAACUUUAACCUAUUGUCUCUCAAUCCUACAUUUAUUCUAGUUUAUGCAUUCCAAAAUAUUUAGGAUAAUCUAAAAAACAAAAUAUGUGUGUAUAUUAUUUUUAUGUAUAUGUAUACUGUUAACCAUAAACAAUGUAUUCCAUGUAUAGUUGGCUUUCUUUAGGUUCUGUUUAAAAAGGAACAAAUUAGAUUCAUAUAAAAGUUGAAUUUAAUGCCGUUUAUUAGUAUAAUAACUGAGACAUUUUGUUUUUCUAAGCUACAGCUAAUAGUAAAAUAGUUUCUAGUUGUUUUCUUCUAAGUAGUUAAUUUAAUAAAGUAAUAAGUUUCUUUUGCAUUUAUUUUAAGGUAGAUAAUGGGGUCACUGACUCUGAAGGGCUAGUUAAGAUUUUAUGUGGAAGACUCUCCUCUUUCUACCAUGAGAGAGUUUGAUUCCCCUGAAGCAUGUGUUCUGUUGAAAGUCCAACCUUGCUGGGGUUAUUGGAAGACCUCUUUGCUGUUCCUCCUUCCCUAAAGAAGAUGGACAAAUUUUUUUUUAAAUGAAAAGCUAAAAGUUUUUCUCAACCGGGGUUUAUAUGAUAUGUAUAAAAUGAAAUUAGAGUUUUUAAAAUUGAGAGGAACAGGCCCAGCAAAGCUUUGCAAGGAACUUGCAAAAUUCUCAUUGUCUAAAAGAAAUUCCCAACCCUCCAGACAUUUUUCAGUGAGUAUCAAGUACAAGACAGUGGUCCCCAUGACCCAAAUUACGGUGUCUGCUAACAACAUCCAUUGACAUCUUUGCUCCCUAAGAGUCCAAGGCUUUGGAAACAAGUAGACUUGAACUUUAAGCUCCCUUUGCCUUUUGCUAGCUGAAUAAGCUACUCCAUUUAUUUCCCUGUGGCCCGGAGCCUGAAGCGUUUAGAACAAGCUCACAGAGCUGUUGGGUGGGAUAGCAUGUGUACAGCACAUGCCAUGGAACCUGCAGUGGUGGUGCUUAACACAUUCACAUCCUUUCCCAAAUCUUUUUAGCAGAGACCUCUUCAGUUGGGUCGCAAAGACUGCUGGACUCAUGCUAAAUUGUAUCACUUUUUUUCCACAUCAGAUCAAGCAAAAACAGUGAUGCUGCCAUUUUUUCACCAUUUUCUGUGUUCUAGGUAGGUACCGUUAUGAGUGCUGUUAUCUGCAUGAACCUGUUUAAUCUCCAGGGCAACCUAUUGGUACACUUCAUUAUGCCCAUUUCAUAGAUGAGGGUGCUGAGGUGCAGAAAGGUAGAGGAGCUUAUUUAGAGCCAGGACUUUGGCAGAAUAAAAGUUGACUGAACCUGAAAGUCUCAGAAAUAAUCUUCUCAUUUCGAUUCUGUUAAAUGUCACCAUCUUCCAGGCCUGGCCCUCUCAGUAUUGAAAUACAAAAUUGACUUUUUCUACUUCUUAUUUUACAAAUCAAUGGGACCCAUCUUAGUCAUCUGUGUUUUAUGAGUUUUAACUAGACCACUGAAGUUCAGGAGGGGAAUUCCUUGUUUUCAAUUGAUCUCAUCCACUAACAGAUUUACUCAUGUAACUUCCCCUAUUUUUUCUUAAUGUUUUCACUUGAAAGAGGGGGUGGGGAGGGAAUAGUUUGUGUAGGCAUUUGGAUCCCAGGGAUGCACUUUUGUCAACCUUUCUAGAGACUCUGGUGUAGGAUUAACCCAUAGAGGACUAAAAUGAGUACAAAUCUGUAUUUACUCAUCUUUUUCUCCUUUAUCUCCAUCUGGUUCUGGCUGUUUUCCAGAGAGGUAAAACUUCUAAGAAAAGAAUUACAGGAAGCUAUCUCUGUUCAUAAAACCUUAUGUUUGGAUGAUGAGUUAAUUUUCUGAAACAAAAAGGGGGGUGGGGCUUCACAUUGAGAAUUUCCUCUUCUUUCAAUUCUAGGUUGGGAAUUUGAUUUAGAAGGUGGGAUAGACCACCCUCGCUCAUGGGUUCAAAGUGCUUGGAAAUCCUUUAAAAACUUCCCUGGCCUUGGACUGAGCCUAUCUAUGGGAAACUCUAUUAAUCACGCCAGCCUUCAUUCUUUCAUUUAUUUGCCCAUCCAUUCAUUUAUCCGUAUUUUCCUAUGAUUCAUUCAGCGUGUACCCGCAGACAGAUGAAAGGGAAGACCGAGUGAGAGUGCAUUAGGGGACAGAAAAGGAGUAGCUGUAAACUCACUCUUUGUUCCUUUCACCUCCCAAACGGUGUCUUUUCUUAGCCCAUUUGCCGCAUUUCACAGAGUGACACAAAAGUCCUUUAGCAUCUUCCUUUGGUAGCCAGGCUUCUUUUUUCAAGUGCUGGGGGAGAAGAGGCUUGUGAGGGGCAAGCAAUGCAGUGAAAUAUUGUUUUCUUUUUCUUGUCUUUUUAAUGGUGGUGGUGGAAUGUGUCAGUAAGUAUGGCCUAAGAAUGCUUGAGCUUUCAAAUCAGUUCUCUAAGUUUAAAGGUUAUUAAGAGCCCACAAGGAUGCCUUGGACAAUAUUUUUUAAAUCGACAUUUAAACCAAUUUUUAAGGCCAGGAGUUCUAUUCUGACUUUCAUCACAUUUAUUUUUGAAACUAUCUCCACUUAAUGAUGUGAGAAAUGAAAAGUAUGCUGUGUUUUGGGGGGAACAUGAAGGUAGGGAGGAGGGCUUUAGUCUAACACUUGUAGCCAAUAAUAUUGUUCUUGAAGACACACACAGAGUCAUUGUCUUUCCUGGUGAUUGAGUAUUGAGUUAAACCUUGGAGUUGUUUCCCAUGGAUUCUGAAAGCCACAUCACUAACCAUUUGAGUUCUUUUUGAUGGCACAAACUGCUUCCUCUGUGUGUUUUUUGAUGCAGGUUUGUCCACAGCAAGAAUGGCAGUGAAAAUCUUUGUCUUUCAACAUGAAGUGUGAAGUUUCCAUCACUAGUAGGUAUAUACAGCCUGGUGGGGGGAAAAUGUUAAUAUAGAUUUCAAAAACAAACACAAAAUCAACAUCACCCACAGUCUAAAAGGAUGUGUCAGUAUCUCAGGGCUCUUCUGUCAGAGCGAGAUCAAACAAGGACUGCUCGGGACAGGUCACGUUGACAACGGUGGGGAGUUCCUACUUUUCUUCCCUUCCUAGUAGACAUCCAUACUCCCAGGAAACCCUCUCUUUAUUUAUUUACCCAUGGCCAGCAGGGAGACUAUAGAGAAGCUUUCCUUUUCUCUUCACCCCUGCACAAUUUCUCAUCAUACCGGGGAAAUGGCUUAUUUUAUUAUAGCUUUGUCUACCUGGCCCUUGAAACAUGUGGAGUUUUGGUAAAGGAAUAAUAAAAAUGGUCUCAGAUGCCAACUAGACUUCAAAGGUUACAGCAGAACAGUGGACAAAGGCACCACAUGAAUAAUGUUCUUUUUACAAAAAUGGAUUGCUCUUACUUACCAAGUGCUGAACAGUGUUCUGGAUCUAUGAAUACAGCAGUGAGCACGGUCCCUGUUCUCAUAGAGAAGGGCAUGCUAACAGUGAUUGAAUGAAUAAUGCAUACCAGGUGUUAGGAAAUGCUGUGGCGAAAACAAAAACCAAAUCAGACUGACAGGGAGUAUCAGGGGUUCGGGGUAGAGCUUCUUUAUCCACAGUUGAUGGGAAGGCCUAUCUGAUGUGACAUUUGUGCAGACUUAGCCAUGGGAUAUGAGGGGCCAGCCAUUAGGAUAUCUGGAGGAAGAAGACUCCAGGCAGGGAAAACAAAAUAAUUAACUGCAGUGGAGGGAGGAGCAAGCUUGGUGUGUCCAAGGUGCACUUCUUAGCAGAUCAUGCUGGCCAUAGUAAGAAGCUACUGGAAGGUAGAUGAUAACUUGAAAGGAGGAUGGUAUUCCAAGGGUGCAGGUGAUCUGCGUAAGGAUCCUGGAGAAUAGAACUUUGGUGACUCGUAAAUAGAGUGUAUGGAAGUUGCAUCUGGCUUUCUUUUGAUAAAAUAUUACAUUUUUAAUUUAAAUCAUGAUGAUAUCAAAAUCUUGGUAAAAAAAGAAGAUAAAAUUGAGCUAUUUGAAGCACAAACACUGCUAGAGAACCCGAUGUGGAUAAUUCUUCCCUCACAUAGGCUCUUCGGAGAGGUGUGAGGUGCUGGGGUGCCUAGCUGUGGGCUACUUUGAUUUAUAUAUGCUAAAAACUUCGUUUCUACAGGGGCCUAAAUUUGCUGAUUUUGCACUCAAUAACAAGCCGUUUGGAAUUUUGAACUACAUGGAGUUUCAGUAAUUUUGUGUUAAAAGUGUUCCUUUUUUGUAAUGCGCAGUUUUCUGGUCAGUCAACUGAAAAGUUACCUCUUAUAAUUCUGUGUGCAAAUUGACUGCUUGUUACAAGUUAAGGAGCUGUGUUACACAGUAUUUGUUUUAUAAUGGGAGGCCUAAGAGAGUAUAGAAAGAUGAAAGCAGUUAGCCAGUUGGGAAGGUGAGAUUAUAGGUACUUUUCGCCUUUAAAGUUGCAUUAAAAACAGGUUUGCAGUUUCUGAAAGGUAAAGGUGAUUGCUAAAAAUGAAUUGUAGCUCUUUGUUAUCCCUCUGUUAGCACAAUCUGUGUACUUUUUGUGUAAGGGCUGUGCAAUUUUUGUCAUCUGAGGGGAGUUUACAAACACGCUAAGAGACAUGUCUUGGGUAAGGACAUAUGGUCUAUAGGAGGGUGUGUCCAAAAGUUCAUGAAAAAUGCAGUGAAAGGGUAUUCAUUUUGGUGCCCCAAAUUUUUGAAGUCCAUGCGUAGUUUUUUUUUUAUAAUACAUCUUCCAUGAACCUUUGGAACAUCCCUCAUAUGCACGAAUUUAAAAAUUUUGGGCACUGAAAUAAACUUAAUAUUCUUUCAGGGGGCUCUUUGAAGCUCCCUGCUGCAUAUCAGUAUAUCUACAGCAGGACUUUGUAAUCAGGCCUCACAACAUACAGGGCUUACCAGGGCCUUAAUAGCUGUUUGUGAGUGUUGCCCGGAUUUCCCUUACUUCCCACCAUCUGAUAUUUUAUUCCUCUUGAUCCCCUAGUCUGACUUUCUACUACUUAGGCAUGUAUUUGGGUUAACCUUCAUAGUCUUUUAGCAAGGGAUCCACCUGUAGAAAAAAGUUACUGGUUUUCUCAUUUAUAGCUUAGUUCAACUGGACCGGAUUUCCUUGCUGCCUCUGGCUGAAACUGACUGACUGAAUCAGUUUCACUUGUGGGGAGGAGAAAUGAGUACUUCAGGAACAGAGAGUGUGUGUGUGUGUGUGGGGGGGGGGGGGCUGUGUUUGCUCCUUUCCAUCUGCCCCUAAAGGCAAGAACACUGCCUUGAGAGAGGGAGAGAGAAUUGGGGUAGCAAGAGGAAGCUGACUCCCCUGGAUGGACCAGUGCUGUGGGGGGGGGCAGGCAAAGGUAGGAUGUAGGGUGGUUGGCCAAUCUUUGGUUGCAAGCCCAGGUGCUGUCAGCCUCAGGUCCUCCUGGUGUCCCAGGCACAGACAGCACUGUCCAUUCCUGCUUAUCUCCUGUGAGCUGAAGAGAGAGAGAGUGCUCUUGACUUAGUGAGUGCCCUUUCUCUGAGGAGCCUUGGGAAGACACGGAAUUUGGGAACGAACUUUCCAGACAAUCCGUGUUCCCGAAUCCUCCCUGGUACAUCUCUCUACUGCAUGUACUUUCUAGGUGCAGUCUAAAGAGGUAGACACUAAGGCUCCUUUUCUACCAGUCUCUGACUUCUUGCAUUGAGGGCACCACAGGCGUUGUCCAAGAAGUGGCUGCAUUCUAUGUGGUCCUUCCUCUAAGGCCACUCUUGGUCUUGAUCUCAGUCUGGGUCUCAGUCUCCUGGGGUUUCAGCCGUUUGGCCCCAUGAGCCCCGGGACUUCCCCCUUGUCUUCCCCCAUAUAAAUAGACAACUUGCUGCCUCUGUUCUCAACCCUUGAUAUUUCUGCUUGCGACUUGAGUGUCUUCUGAAACGAUUGUGCGGUAGCUGGGCACUGCAAAAUGAGUCAGUUCCUGCAGUUCGGUUACAAGUUCUCAAAAAGUAUUUCAGAAUGUGGAUGUGGUCAGCAGAGUCAUUUUCCAGGCAUCUCAAAGGAAACCCACAUCAACUGUAACAAUUGAGCUGCGAACCGAUGGCUCUGCUUAUCCUCAAAGCAAAGCCUGGAGGGGCCCUCCAGUCUCGCCCUCUCCACAGAUCCUAAAUGGGACUCCAUCUUCAUGCUUGGAAAUCACAUUGCAUCCACUACCAUUUGCACAAACAAUGCAAUAGAGGUUUUGGCCUUUUUCAAUGUCUGAAUGUGGGCUCAAGUUUGACAGAAGAAAUUAGUUUAGCAAAAGAGAAUCUAUGGGAUUACAAAUACAAUUAGUAGGAAGCGUAAUAUGUGGCUGCAGGACAUAAACUUUUGGCAAUUUAGCUAAUGCACCGAGGAAUAACUAAAGUGGUUUAGGUACCACUUGAGUACAUGGAUGUAUGAUUAUUUUGUUUACUCCUUAAGUUCUGGACCCAAGUAGACUUAGUAACAAUGCUGACAAAAAUAAUUCCUUUUCAAAGUUUAAAAGAACUGCAAGUUUGUGAUAAUAUUUACAGAAUAUUUUAGUUUAGCAUGGGUUUUAGAAAAUAAUCAUUGUGAAGGUUUUUUAAAUAUUUUCUUGUGUACCAUGAAUUAUGUCAUGUUGAUUGAGUUCAGUUACCAGUCUUGCACCACUCAUUAGACCCAAGGCAUUUUUCAGUAUUAAGAAAACAAAUAACAAAGAAAAAACAUGCACAAAUGAUCUGAACAAGUUUCACCAAAGAAAAUAUACAAAAUACAGAUAAGCACAUGAAAAUAUGUUCAAUAACAUUAAUCAAUCAAGAGGGAAUCCCAAAUAAAAAAUGCAAUCACAUACCAUGACCCUCCUAUUUGAAUGGCUAAAAUUAAAAAGAAUGACUAUACCAAGUGUUGGUGAGGAUGUGGAGAAUCUAGAACUCUCACACAUUUAGGUAGAAAGAAAGAAUCAUACAAACAAUGAGGGUGCUGGUUAAUUUCACUAACUUGAUUUUGGUGAUACUUUUAUGGUGGUAUUCACAUGUCAAACAUAACAAACUUCAUACUUUGAAUACAUGCUGUUUGAGCUCAAUGAAUAGAAAAUGUUAAGAAAUCACUGUUAGACCAGAUGGAGAAUUUUUAAAUGUCCUUAUUUGGUAAAAUAAAAAAUAGCAUCUCUUGGGGAAAAGUUUUGAUAGUUUUUAAUGGUUUGAGGAUAGAAAUACAGCCUUCUAGUACAGACAAGAACCCAAAGUUAAACAGUGAACAUAAUAAACGUGAUAUCUUUAGUUCCUCCUGUUUAUAAGGCAUUUAAACAAGUGGUUCCAGAAGCCUCUUUUCCAGCACAGUGGGACCAGCUGCCUGGAUGGUUUGUAUGCAUUUGAACUUGUACACAAGUACUGUAGCACUCACCAUACGAUGAGACUAAGGCAUUUGAAACUGGGCCCAGAUUGCAAAGAUAAGACAUGAAAAUGGCCACCUUGGAUUUGACCAUGGGUAGGCAAAUAAACCUCUUAGAUUUUCAGAGUGACUGCAAAUUUAUUUUAUUACUUUCUUUAGCCUUAUUGAGGUAUAAUUUACAAAUGAGAGUUGCAUAUGUUUAUAGUAUACAGCAUGAUGUUUUGAUAUGUUGUAUAUAUCGUGAAAUGAUUACCACAAUCAAGCUAAUUAGCCUAUCUCACCUCACAUAGUGGGGUGUGUGUGUGUGUGCGCGUGCGCUGAGAAUGUUUUGAGAUCUACUCUCAGUAAAUUUCAAGUAUAUAAUACAGAAUUGCUAGCUCUAAAGCAUUUUCCUAAACCUCGUGUGUGUGAUGUUCACAAUGGUCCUGUGAUAAGUAGGGUCAGUGUUCUUUUCAUUUACUUGGGGAGCAAACGGAGACCCAGAUUGCUACUUUCCUGGAUCAGACAGCCCCCUUCUUCAUCAUGGUCACAGGUCACAUGGUCACAUGGUCUCCACUACACCUUGCUGCUAACCCAAACUCAUGUCCUUGACUGUUUGGCUAAGACUCGGUUCAUCAAUUAGUUAGGCAGUUACUAGAGUCCCUUUUAUUUGUAUGUGAAGCAUUCAAGGCAAUGAUCUCUUCUAAUCCCCUGGCUCUCCAUCUGUAAAUGACUAAUAACAAAACCAGCAGCUUCCCAAGAAACUGGACAGCCUUGUGUAUUCAGCAGGUGUUGAUGUUUACUGUGUUAUCACCCUCACUGCGCCUGAAAUAUUGAUGACAUGGUACUGAGUGAGUGGUUUUGUAAACCCAACAGGGAGACACAGCAACUUAAUUCCAUUAGUCACCCCAUGACUUUGUUCAUAGUUGGAAAGUUGCACAAUAAAUGGGGCCCUGCGCACUCGAUUAUUUUAAAUUCUUCUUUAAAGGACACUAAAUUGCCUCAUUAGUUGAGUCCUAGUGACACAAAACAGAGCUAAAGGCAAGUGCCGUCGGGGUUUACUUAGCCAAGAAGGUUGGCCCAUGCUCUUUCCUCCUCUAUUGCUGUGACUGUGCAUCUCCCCUCCUCUCUGCCUUUUGUCAUUUUCAGCGGCCUUCUCUCUUCACUGCCCCUCUUCCUUUUAACAUUCCCCAUUUAGGGACAGCUGUCUUGGGAGAAUUCCUGAUGAAUCUGUCGCCAUGGAAACUUCUCCCAAGCACAUGUGAUGAAUUGUAUGGAAGCCGUUAUAAUCUUUGGGACUCUUCCAUAAAACCCAUUUUCAGGAAAGGUGAAUAUAAUAAAAAUUGGGUUGAACAACAUCAAAUAGAUUUGU